CCGAAGAAACCGAAGAAACCGAAGAAACCAAAGAAAAUAACGCAAGGAUCAAAUAUGUCCUGGAGGAAGAGGGACCUGGAUGGGAACAUUCUACCCCAACAUUGGAAUAAGAAUCGAUCUGUUAAACCUUCCAGCUCUCUGGAGUCCCCAGAGGUCGAGGAGACACAUGAGAUUCCUCUACAGGUCCCAAGUCUUGAUCAACAUCUUCUCACACUGAGAAACCUGUUGGGUUCUCUCACUGUCCCUGCAUCAUCAGAAGAAACACCCACUGUAACAACAUGGACCCAAAGACAGUUGAAACGUGAAAAAAAUUCAGAGCUGCAAUGCCAGAGCUCC
Molecule: long non-coding RNA, 336 nt
Organism: Gymnodraco acuticeps
Lineage: Eukaryota; Metazoa; Chordata; Actinopteri; Perciformes; Bathydraconidae
Exons: 3
Source: RefSeq, a predicted model, not a curated record